This 801-nucleotide ribosomal RNA is filed under the name uncultured bacterium. RNAcentral's name for it is "bacterial SSU rRNA". It matches the Rfam family "Bacterial small subunit ribosomal RNA", at positions 88 to 904 of the family's 1533-position model. The record is from RNAcentral.
CGAUAUAGUGGCGAACGGGUGAGUAACACGUAAGCAACCUACCCUUAAGACUGGCACAACCAGCCGAAAGGUUGGCUAAUUCCAGAUGUGGCUACGGGAAGACAUCUUCCUGUAAUUAAAUCCCGCAAGGGGCUUAAGGAUGGGCUUGCGGCUUAUCAGCUAGUUGGUGAGGUAACGGCUCACCAAGGCAAUGACGAGUAGCAGGUCUGAGAGGACGACCUGUCACAAGGGAACUGAGACACGGUCCCUACUCCUACGGGAGGCAGCAGUGAGGAAUUUUCUGCAAUGGGCGCAAGCCUGACAGAGCGACGCCGUGUGUGGGAUGAAGUCCUUCGGGACGUAAACCACUGUCAGAGGGGAAGAUAUUGACGGUACCCUCAGAGGAAGGCCCGGCUAACUACGUGCCAGCAGCCGCGGUAAUACGUAGGGGCCAAGCGUUGUCCGGAUUUAUUGGGCGUAAAGGGCGUGUAGGCGGUCUUGUAAGUCAGAUGUUAAAUCUACGGGCUCAACCCGUAGCCGCAUUUGAUACUGCUUGACUAGAGAAUGCUAGAGGAAAGCGGAACUUCCAGUGUAGCGGUGAAAUGCGUAGAUAUUGGAAGGAACACCAGUGGCGAAGGCGGCUUUCUGGGGCAUUUCUGACGCUGAGGCGCGAAAGCUAGGGGAGCAAACGGGAUUAGAUACCCCGGUAGUCCUAGCCCUAAACGAUGUUCAUUAGGUGUUAAAGGUAUCGACCCCUUUAGUGCCGCAGCUAACGCGUUAAAUUGACCGCCUGGGGAGUACGGUCGCAAGAUUAAAACUCAA